Elaeis guineensis (African oil palm) is the source of this 831-nucleotide RNA transcript. RefSeq lists it as uncharacterized. The record is from RefSeq and is a predicted model, not a curated record. Lineage: Eukaryota; Viridiplantae; Streptophyta; Magnoliopsida; Arecales; Arecaceae.
UAAGAGAGGAAACAUUGUCCUCCCGCUGGACUCUUCCGUCACCUGCCGGAUAGAGGGGCUCCAUGGAAUGGAACAGGCUUAGGAUUUCGCUCCUGGAGGUCGAGAUUUCCAAUGGCGGAGCACCAGCAAGCCCAGUCGGAGUCGCCAGCACGAUCUCCUUGUCGCUUUCUCAGCCGCAGCAGCAGCAGCAGAGGCAGCGGGAGGAGACGAUGGCCUGCGUUGCGGCGCUGUUGCCCUGCUUCCCUGCCCGCAAGCUCCAAGCCAUCGACCGCUCCAUCCACUCCUCCCACCAGAGGGCGUUGAUUGACGAAUGACUUUAUCUUAAUCAGAGGAGAGUUUAUCUGGACGCUAAAGGUUGCGAUCGAACUUAUAUUUGACCUCCGGUGCAUGGGUCAUGGGCUCUGUUUUGGAUGCUGGGAACUUGAAAAUAAUGAAAAUGGAAGACACAGUUGAUGUCAAGGCAAGCAAGAGAUUUUAUGGAGUCUGCGAAGAGUCUUCAAUUGCCGUUCAUCGGGCUACAACGUGAAGAUCAACCCACCAAGGAAGAAAAGCUUCGAAAGGAGAUCUUCAUCAUGAAGAGUUGAAAACCAAGUCUGAGCCGAUUAAGAAGCAUGAGAAACUCAUUCAAGGGUGUAGGAAAGAUUUGGAAGGACCACCUGGAGAAGCAUGUCAUGGAGUUGGAGAGGGUGUAAAUUUUCCUGUUAUUGUUUGCUUCAGUUUAGCAAUUUAAUUGUCACUUCAACCAAAAGGGGUCCCAUGUACCAAGGAUAGAGAAAAUAUCAGGUUUAGAAGGAAUUCCUAAGUUUAUGGAAGCAAGGCAUAUUGUUUUCA